GCAGGUGCGCCGAAGUAGGAGAUUCGGAGCGGUCUGUAACACCGUUGCCCCACGGCUGAGCAGGUUCGAAUCCUGCCACCUGCACCA
RNAcentral lists this transfer RNA (87 nucleotides) under Bacteroidota bacterium. RNAcentral's name for it is "Bacteroidetes bacterium tRNA-Tyr". It matches the Rfam family "tRNA". Rfam says of the family: Transfer RNA (tRNA) molecules are approximately 80 nucleotides in length. Their secondary structure includes four short double-helical elements and three loops (D, anti-codon, and T loops). Further hydrogen bonds mediate the characteristic L-shaped molecular structure. tRNAs have two regions of fundamental functional importance: the anti-codon, which is responsible for specific mRNA codon recognition, and the 3' end, to which the tRNAs corresponding amino acid is attached (by aminoacyl-tRNA synthetases). tRNAs cope with the degeneracy of the genetic code in two manners: having more than one tRNA (with a specific anti-codon) for a particular amino acid; and 'wobble' base-pairing, i.e. permitting non-standard base-pairing at the 3rd anti-codon position. The record is from RNAcentral. Lineage: Bacteria; Pseudomonadati; Bacteroidota.